Molecule: ribosomal RNA, 569 nt
Filed under: Bartalinia robillardoides
Lineage: Eukaryota; Fungi; Ascomycota; Sordariomycetes; Amphisphaeriales; Sporocadaceae
Description: eukaryotic LSU rRNA
Rfam family: 5.8S ribosomal RNA (bases 198-351)
Source: RNAcentral
AAUGGUUUGCAGCUAUCUGCUCCAACCCAUGUGACUUACCUUUGUUGCCUCGGCAGUAGUUGCUGGGCGAGCCUACCCGGGAACGAGCUACCCUGUAGCGAGUUACCCUGGAACGACUUACCCUGUAACGCCUGCCGGUGGACUACUAAACUCUUGUUAUUUUUAAGUAAUCUGAGCGUCUUAUUUUAAUAAGUCAAAACUUUCAACAACGGAUCUCUUGGUUCUGGCAUCGAUGAAGAACGCAGCGAAAUGCGAUAAGUAAUGUGAAUUGCAGAAUUCAGUGAAUCAUCGAAUCUUUGAACGCACAUUGCGCCCAUUAGUAUUCUAGUGGGCAUGCCUGUUCGAGCGUCAUUUCAACCCUUAAGCCUAGCUUAGUAUUGGGAAUCGACUUUACUGUCGUUCCUCAAAUUCAACGGCGGAUUUAUAGCAAUCUCUGAACGUAGUAAUUUUUUUUCUCGUUUUUGAAAUACUAUAAACCUCAGCCGCUAAACCCCCAAUUUCUUAUGGUUGACCUCGGAUCAGGUAGGAAUACCCGCUGAACUUAAGCAUAUCAAUAAGCGGAGGAAAUA